Molecule: ribosomal RNA, 1183 nt
Filed under: Nocardia sp. MCC-G
Lineage: Bacteria; Bacillati; Actinomycetota; Actinomycetes; Mycobacteriales; Nocardiaceae
Description: bacterial SSU rRNA
Rfam family: Bacterial small subunit ribosomal RNA
Source: RNAcentral
GUGAUCUGCCUUGCACUUCGGGAUAAGCCUGGGAAACUGGGUCUAAUACCGGAUAUGACCUUGAAAUGCAUGUUUUGGGGUGGAAAGAUUUAUCGGUGCGAGAUGGGCCCGCGGCCUAUCAGCUUGUUGGUGAGGUAACGGCUCACCAAGGCGACGACGGGUAGCCGACCUGAGAGGGUGACCGGCCACACUGGGACUGAGACACGGCCCAGACUCCUACGGGAGGCAGCAGUGGGGAAUAUUGCACAAUGGGCGCAAGCCUGAUGCAGCGACGCCGCGUGCGGGAUGACGGCCUUCGGGUUGUAAACCGCUUUUGACAGGGACGAAGCGCAAGUGACUGUACCUGUAGAAUAAGGACCGGCCAACUACGUGCCAGCAGCCGCGGUAAUACGUAGGGUCCGAGCGUUGUCCGGAAUUACUGGGCGUAAAGAGCUUGUAGGCGGUUCGUCGCGUCGUUUGUGAAAACUUGGGGCUCAACCUUAAGCUUGCAGGCGAUACGGGCGGACUAGAGUACUUCAGGGGAGACUGGAAUUCCUGGUGUAGCGGUGAAAUGCGCAGAUAUCAGGAGGAACACCGGUGGCGAAGGCGGGUCUCUGGGAAGUAACUGACGCUGAGAAGCGAAAGCAUGGGUAGCAAACAGGAUUAGAUACCCUGGUAGUCCAUGCCGUAAACGGUGGGUACUAGGUGUGGGGCUCCUUCCACGGACUCCGUGCCGUAGCUAACGCAUUAAGUACCCCGCCUGGGGAGUACGGCCGCAAGGCUAAAACUCAAAGAAAUUGACGGGGGCCCGCACAAGCGGCGGAGCAUGUGGAUUAAUUCGAUGCAACGCGAAGAACCUUACCUGGGUUUGACAUACACCGGAAACCUGCAGAGAUGUAGGCCCCCUUGUGGUCGGUGUACAGGUGGUGCAUGGCUGUCGUCAGCUCGUGUCGUGAGAUGUUGGGUUAAGUCCCGCAACGAGCGCAACCCUUAUCUUAUGUUGCCAGCGCGUAAUGGCGGGGACUCGUGAGAGACUGCCGGGGUCAACUCGGAGGAAGGUGGGGACGACGUCAAGUCAUCAUGCCCCUUAUGUCCAGGGCUUCACACAUGCUACAAUGGCCGGUACAGAGGGCUGCGAUACCGCGAGGUGGAGCGAAUCCCUUAAAGCCGGUCUCAGUUCGGAUCGGGGUUGCAACUCGACCCC